ACCUCUGUUCCACCAGCAGGCGUCAGCUCUGCCAUCACCGGAGCUUCCUCCAUCGAAUUUUCAAUUGAUUCUCCGAUUCCCCAGUUUUCCCCUUCAAUUUCUUCGUCACCGUCCUUCGAUGCUUCAUCAACCAUCAGAACCUCUUUGAGUGGUUCUACUUCCUCAAUUUCCUCUGCAGCGAUCGGGCAAUCAUCCAUCACCAUAUCGUCAUUGUCUCCAUCAACAUCCCCAGCGGGUAUCACCAUGUCGUCCAUUGCCUUGCUCUCUCCGGAAUCCGGGGUUUCGCCUAGUGCGAUGGAGUCGACGACCUCCUGCAGCUGGAUGACUUGGCGGAUCACCUUCUUGCGAUACUCCCGGACGCCACGGACCGCGUCGAGCCGUAGCAGCAGCGCCAUGAGCAUCUCGCUGAUCCUCAGCCUCUCCUUGGCGU
RNAcentral lists this unclassified non-coding RNA (430 nucleotides) under Hevea brasiliensis (rubber tree). The record is from RNAcentral. Lineage: Eukaryota; Viridiplantae; Streptophyta; Magnoliopsida; Malpighiales; Euphorbiaceae.